This 429-nucleotide ribosomal RNA is filed under the name Chloroflexota bacterium. RNAcentral describes it as "Chloroflexi bacterium partial 16S ribosomal RNA". It matches the Rfam family "Bacterial small subunit ribosomal RNA", at positions 355 to 776 of the family's 1533-position model. Lineage: Bacteria; Bacillati; Chloroflexota. The record is from RNAcentral.
UGGGGAAUAUUGCACAAUGGGCGCAAGCCUGAUGCAGCCAUGCCGCGUGUGUGAAGAAGGCCUUCGGGUUGUAAAGCACUUUCAGCGGGGAGGAAGGCGAUAAGGUUAAUAACCUUGUCGAUUGACGUUACCCGCAGAAGAAGCACCGGCUAACUCCGUGCCAGCAGCCGCGGUAAUACGGAGGGUGCAAGCGUUAAUCGGAAUUACUGGGCGUAAAGCGCACGCAGGCGGUCUGUCAAGUCGGAUGUGAAAUCCCCGGGCUUAACCUGGGAACUGCCUUCGAAACUGGCAGGCUAGAGUCUUGUAGAGGGGGGUAGAAUUCCAGGUGUAGCGGUGAAAUGCGUAGAGAUCUGGAGGAAUACCGGUGGCGAAGGCGGCCCCCUGGACAAAGACUGACGCUCAGGUGCGAAAGCGUGGGGAGCAAACAGG